CUGGAACUUCGUCUGUUACUUCACUCCCUUUAUUCCACAGGCCUCUUCUCUCAUCCUCACCCCAACAGUUUCCUAUUUGUGGUUCUCACUUAGUUUUGGCAGGUGUUCAUAUUUGAUGUAUUUCCUGGAACAUGUUAGUGGUUUCUUUGGAGAAAACCAACAAUUCACCAUUUCUUUUGGUGGGGGAUUUAUUUUCUGGGAGAUCUCACACCACCCUCAUGAGCUUCUGCCCUAGCUUUACAGGAAAUCAGGAUGAAAUGGGACCAGAGAGAAAGAAAGGUGCUUUCUUGGAGUUGGAACUGGCAGAGCGGGUAUCAGGACAGACUUCACGUAUGCAUGGAGAGAUAUGGAAUCUACAUACGACUGAAAACCUGGACAUAUAUGUCUCAAUUCUAUUUCUCCUUUUUAGGGGCUAGGGGUAGAAGUGACAAAAAGGGUGAUCUCCUCCACAGAAGACCCGCUUCUCUAUUUACACGAUGCACCAUUACCUCUGAAGUAGCCAUCACCGAUCCUGCAUUCUCAGUUAUCCAUAGAUCCAGACACAGAACUUUCCCUUUGUUACAGAAAAUUUUAUUGCAUAGCACCAAUCUGGAGUAUUUUAUGUCCAUCAACAAUAAGCAACUUUUAAGGCUUGGAACAUCAUCCCUAUCCAAGAACCAUGAAACUGAAUAAAACAAAUCAUUCUGAAUUACUCCUGUCCACUCUCUGUUUGAUGAU
RNAcentral lists this long non-coding RNA (717 nucleotides) under Equus caballus (horse). RNAcentral describes it as "lncRNA (ENSECAG00000037639.3)". The record is from RNAcentral. Lineage: Eukaryota; Metazoa; Chordata; Mammalia; Perissodactyla; Equidae.